AUUUUGUCUGCUCGACCAAAAUACUUCUAAAAGGUCAGAAGGAAAUUCCAGCUUUCAGCUCUCUCAAAACAUGGCGGAUUGGAUAUGAGUUAUCUCUCAAGUUGUUGGAAUAAGUAUUCUCACUUCCGCAAAUUCUUUUCGAUUACUAGAAUUCUCCUUACCCUUUUUGUCUUUUCAAAUUUUAGCUUUAGAAAUCCAUCUGGGUCAUUUUCACACACUAAUGUGUGUGUAUUAGUUUCAAGAACUUGUUCACGAAGGAGAUUUGGUUUCCAGGUAUUUACUUUGCUACCAUUUACAAGUAUUUUACUGUUUGUUUGAAUUAGAGAAGCUAAGAGAUGGAUAACAUCAUAUACUCGCCUUGCAAUAUGUAUCCUCUAAUUGAACACCAAUUUAUUAGAGCUCCAAGACAAAUAUUAGGAUGUUCAAGUAAAUGUGGCGUACACUUGUAUUUGGCACAAUCAAACACUAGAAUUUAUCAUCGAAAAUUAACCAUGAACCUUCGUUAUCCGCGGCGAACAAAGAUUUUGCCAGAUAACACUUUCUUAAGGAAGAAAACAAGCCCAGUGAAUGAAGAACUUGGUAAUAAUGAUGAGAAUUCAAUGGCUGAACCUCUUGUGUUUGAUUUUGUUGAGGAGUCUGAAAUCAUUUAUGAUAGUAACAGUAGGGACAAUGAUGGUGAAGAUAAAGGAACGAGAGAUGACAAGAAUGUAGAACAAGAGAGUGAUGUUGAUUGGAGCUCGGAUGAGAUUGAAGCAAUAUCAUCUCUAUUUCAAGGGAGGAUUCCCCAAAAGCCCGGAAAUUUGCAUAGGGAAAGACCUCUUCCUCUUCCACUACCUUACAAGAUUCGACCUUUACGACUUCCGGCUCCCAAGAAUAUCACUCUCCCUUCACGCAAGUCAGUAUCUGGACAGCUGAACAAGAGCCCAAAUUUUUUGAUUGAGCUAGCGAGAGAAAUUAGGCGCCUACCACCUGAUGAAGAUGCCUCUGUAGUUCUUGAUAACUAUGCUCGCUUUAUUCGCAAAGGGUCUUUGUCAAUAACAAUCCGUGAACUUGGCCAUAUGGAUCUUCCUGAUAGAGCUUUGCAGAUAUUUUGUUGGGCUCAGAAGCAACCCCUUUUGUUUCCAGAUGACCGAAUUCUUGCCUCAGCUGUUGAAGUUUUGGCCAGGUCAAGAGACUUGAGGAUGCCGUUUAAUUUUGAAAACUUUGCUGCUAUGGCUAGCAAGAAUGUAUACCAGGCGAUGAUUAGUGGUUUGAUUAAAGGGGGGAAUUUGAAGCUUUCUUGGAAGCUUCUCUCAGAUGCUAGGAAAGGGAAUAGAGUGUUGGAUGCAAGCAUUUAUGCUAAGCUCAUACUGGAACUUGGGAAGAAUCCAGAUAAGUAUGGACUUGUUGCAGAGUUACUGGACAAGUUAGGAGAAAGAGAAGACUUGAACCUAAUACAACAAGAUUGUACUGCAAUAAUGAAAAUCGGGAUAAAACUUGAGAAAUUUGAAAUUGUGGAAAGUUUAUUUAAUUGGUUCAAGCAGUCUGGGGGUGAGCCUAGUAUUGUAAUGUACACUACUGUUGUUCACAGUCGUUACUGUAAUGAAAAAUACAGGGAGGCUUUGGCUCUUGUUUGGGAAAUGGAAGCUUCAAGUUGUCUACUUGAUCUUCCAGCUUACCGUGUAGUUAUCAGGCUUUUUGUUGCUUUAAAAGAUGUUUCACGAGCUGCAAGAUACUUUUCCAAACUAAAGGAGGCAGGUUUCUCUCCAACUUAUGGCAUUUACAGAGACAUGAUCAAAGUUUAUGUAGAAUCAGGAAGGCUGGCCAAGUUCAAGGAGGUCUGUAGGGGGGCUGAGACAGCGGGAUUUAAGCUAGAUAAAGAAACAAGGUCAAUUCUAUUGCAACUUGAAAGAUGAUUUAGAUAUUGAUGACAUGAGAAAAGAGGUUGAGGUGAUGAACCAUAGGCACAAGCAUCCGAACAUUUUGAGCUUGAAGGACAUGUACGAGGAUGAAAGAGCUGGCUACAUUUUGAAGGAAUCAGGUAAAAGAAGGCAGCUGUUUAAUCAGCAAAAGGACAUUACAUUGAACCGAGCCGUUGCAAGAGUUAGGCGGAGUGGCGGACAAUUAUGAAAGUUGUGCAGGUUUAGUGUUUAGAAAUGAAAUGUCUUUAAUCUUGUGUAAAGUUGAUGCUUGCUUCAGUGCCUAAUGUUUAGAGACACAUAUUUCAUCACUGAUUUUUUUUGUUUGGAUAAUUCACUCUGAUUAGUUUUAAUUUAUGCUUAGUUAUUUACUAUGCUUAGCAGUUCAUUCACGGUUUGUAAGGGUUAGAUCUAUUCAAUGAGUAAACCUUCUUGGGACUAAAUAAUAGCUUGUUUGCUCCUAUACUUUUAGAUGUAUUACAGAAUGGGUGGAUGUAUCAAGAUUUAAACCCUAAUAUUUCCUAUUUGCAAACAAGAAGGAAACAGCUUCCCUAAAGGCUAGUAAUUGUGGGCUGUCAGAUGUCUUCAAACCUGGUGAGUCCUUGAUGAGAAUUGAGAUAGUAGGAAGUCCUUAAUACAUGGCCCCGAGGUUCAAAGGCGCAACUAUGGUCCAGAGGUUGAUCUAAGGAGUGCUGGUGUUAUCCUUCACAUUCUGCUUUGUGCACUGUGGAGUCCCACCUUUCUGGACAGAUGGAGUUGGCAGGUGAAGGAAAGAAUUCACAUUGUGAUGAAGAAAUUCUGGAGUCUUGAGCUCGACUUUCCGUUUGAUUGUACAGGAGCAUCAGGGGGUGAAGAAUUUGCUGCUAUAUAUGAUGAAGGCUGGCACAGAUUGGAGAAGAGGCAUCCAGGCAAUAUUGUUGUGAAAGGUACAAUACUAUCAGCUUGAGGUUGAUGAGAGGAUACCUUCUUCAGGCAUGAAGGCGGUUUAAUACAUUUAGCUUUUGAAACGGAACAAAAUAAAUAGGUAGCAGAGAUGGCAAGAAAAAUGGCGAAACAGUGACUACUUUUUUUUUCUGAUUCACCAAGUUACAGUAUCAUAUUUCUCUCUUCCCUAUGACGGAUCUCAAUUGGUUGUCGGAUAGCUGCUGCAUGUAGGUAGUUUUGUUAUCUGCAAUAUAGUCGUAGAAUGGAGGGGAAGAUGAGAAUUGAGAUGAUAACAAAACUAUAUUGAGAUGAUUCCAAGACUAUGCUUUUGUUGAUGAUAUACUCCUACCACGACCAUUUUUA
Daucus carota subsp. sativus is the source of this 3185-nucleotide RNA transcript. It is a transcript of the gene named pentatricopeptide repeat-containing protein At2g01860, with no coding region annotated. Lineage: Eukaryota; Viridiplantae; Streptophyta; Magnoliopsida; Apiales; Apiaceae. The transcript has 4 exons. The record is from RefSeq and is a predicted model, not a curated record.